UACGUAGGGGGCAUGCGUUAUCCGGAAUUACUGGGUGUAAAGGGAGAGUAGGCGGCAAGGUAAGCGAUAUGUGAAAGCCUUAGGCUUAACCUGAGGAUUGCAUAACGAACUAUCUAGCUAGAGUACAGGAGAGGAAAGCGGAAUUCCUAGUGUAGCGGUGAAAUGCGUAGAUAUUAGGAAGAACACCAGUGGCGAAGGCGGCUUUCUGGACUGAAACUGACGCUGAGGCUCGAAAGCGUGGGGAGCGAACAGG
RNAcentral lists this ribosomal RNA (253 nucleotides) under uncultured bacterium. RNAcentral's name for it is "partial 16S ribosomal RNA". It matches the Rfam family "Bacterial small subunit ribosomal RNA", at positions 524 to 776 of the family's 1533-position model. The record is from RNAcentral.